AGCAGCCGCGGUAAUUCCAGCUCCAAUAGCGUAUAUUAAAGUUGCUGCAGUUAAAAAGCUCGUAGUUGAAUUUCGGGACUAAUAUGUCGGUCGUGCCUCGGUACGUACUGGUAUUUUUGGUUUCUCCCUUCUGACGAACCUUGAUGUCAUUAAUUUGGUGUCUUGGGAAAUCAGGACCGUUACUUUGAAAAAAUUAGAGUGUUUAAAGCAGGCUCACGCUUGAAUACAUUAGCAUGGAAUAAUGAAAUAGGACGUUUGAUUCUAUUUUGUUGGUUUCUAGGAUUGACGUAAUGAUUAAUAGGGAUAGGUUGGGGCAUUAGUAUUCAAUUGUCAGAGGUNAAAUUCUUGGAUUUAUUGAAGACUAACUACUGACGAAAGC
RNAcentral lists this ribosomal RNA (379 nucleotides) under uncultured Glomus. Its description in RNAcentral is "SSU rRNA". It matches the Rfam family "Eukaryotic small subunit ribosomal RNA", at positions 569 to 952 of the family's 1831-position model. The record is from RNAcentral. Lineage: Eukaryota; Fungi; Glomeromycota; Glomeromycetes; Glomerales; Glomeraceae.